CCUACGGGGUGCAGCAGUGAGGAAUAUUGGUCAAUGGUCGGGAGACUGAACCAGCCAAGCCGCGUGAGGGAUGAAGGUACAGAGUAUCGUAAACCUCUUUUGUCAGGGAACAAAGGCGGGGACGUGUCCCCGGAUGAGUGUACCUGAAGAAAAAGCAUCGGCUAACUCCGUGCCAGCAGCCGCGGUAAUACGGAGGAUGCGAGCGUUAUCCGGAUUUAUGGGGUUUAAAGGGUGCGCAGGCGGUCUGUUAAGUCAGCGGUCAAAGCCCGGGGCUCAACCCCGGCCCGCCGUUGAAACUGGCAGUCUCGAGUGGGAGAGAAGUAUGCGGAAUGCGCGGUGUAGCGGUGAAAUGCAUAGAUAUCGCGCAGAACUCCGAUUGCGAAGGCAGCAUGCCGGCUCCACACUGACGCUGAGGCACGAAAGCGUGGGUAUCGAACAGGAUUAGAUACCCGAGUAGUC
Molecule: ribosomal RNA, 459 nt
Filed under: uncultured bacterium
Lineage: Bacteria
Description: partial 16S ribosomal RNA
Rfam family: Bacterial small subunit ribosomal RNA
Source: RNAcentral